This 466-nucleotide ribosomal RNA is filed under the name uncultured bacterium. RNAcentral describes it as "partial 16S ribosomal RNA". It matches the Rfam family "Bacterial small subunit ribosomal RNA", at positions 28 to 507 of the family's 1533-position model. The record is from RNAcentral.
GGCGAACGCUGGCGGCGUGCUUAACACAUGCAAGUCGAACGGUAAGGCUCUAGCUUGCUGGGGUACACGAGUGGCGAACGGGUGAGUAACACGUGGGUGACCUGCCCUGCACUUCGGGAUAAGCCUGGGAAACUGGGUCUAAUACCGGAUAGGACCAUGGUGUGGAUACUGUGGUGGAAAGUUUUUUCGGUGUGGGAUGGGCCCGCGGCCUAUCAGCUUGUUGGUGGGGUAAUGGCCUACCAAGGCGGCGACGGGUAGCCGGCCUGAGAGGGUGGACGGCCACAUUGGGACUGAGACACGGCCCAGACUCCUACGGGAGGCAGCAGUGGGGAAUAUUGCACAAUGGGCGGAAGCCUGAUGCAGCGACGCCGCGUGGGGGAUGACGGCCUUCGGGUUGUAAACUCCUUUCACCAUCGACGAAGGGUUUCUGACGGUAGAUGGAGAAGAAGCACCGGCUAACUACGUG